This 1301-nucleotide ribosomal RNA is filed under the name Lactiplantibacillus paraplantarum. RNAcentral describes it as "bacterial SSU rRNA". It matches the Rfam family "Bacterial small subunit ribosomal RNA", at positions 65 to 1332 of the family's 1533-position model. Lineage: Bacteria; Bacillati; Bacillota; Bacilli; Lactobacillales; Lactobacillaceae. The record is from RNAcentral.
AACGAACUCUGGUAUUGAUUGGUGCUUGCAUCAUGAUUUACAUUUGAGUGAGUGGCGAACUGGUGAGUAACACGUGGGAAACCUGCCCAGAAGCGGGGGAUAACACCUGGAAACAGAUGCUAAUACCGCAUAACAACUUGGACCGCAUGGUCCGAGUUUGAAAGAUGGCUUCGGCUAUCACUUUUGGAUGGUCCCGCGGCGUAUUAGCUAGAUGGUGGGGUAACGGCUCACCAUGGCAAUGAUACGUAGCCGACCUGAGAGGGUAAUCGGCCACAUUGGGACUGAGACACGGCCCAAACUCCUACGGGAGGCAGCAGUAGGGAAUCUUCCACAAUGGACGAAAGUCUGAUGGAGCAACGCCGCGUGAGUGAAGAAGGGUUUCGGCUCGUAAAACUCUGUUGUUAAAGAAGAACAUAUCUGAGAGUAACUGUUCAGGUAUUGACGGUAUUUAACCAGAAAGCCACGGCUAACUACGUGCCAGCAGCCGCGGUAAUACGUAGGUGGCAAGCGUUGUCCGGAUUUAUUGGGCGUAAAGCGAGCGCAGGCGGUUUUUUAAGUCUGAUGUGAAAGCCUUCGGCUCAACCGAAGAAGUGCAUCGGAAACUGGGAAACUUGAGUGCAGAAGAGGACAGUGGAACUCCAUGUGUAGCGGUGAAAUGCGUAGAUAUAUGGAAGAACACCAGUGGCGAAGGCGGCUGUCUGGUCUGUAACUGACGCUGAGGCUCGAAAGUAUGGGUAGCAAACAGGAUUAGAUACCCUGGUAGUCCAUACCGUAAACGAUGAAUGCUAAGUGUUGGAGGGUUUCCGCCCUUCAGUGCUGCAGCUAACGCAUUAAGCAUUCCGCCUGGGGAGUACGGCCGCAAGGCUGAAACUCAAAGGAAUUGACGGGGGCCCGCACAAGCGGUGGAGCAUGUGGUUUAAUUCGAAGCUACGCGAAGAACCUUACCAGGUCUUGACAUACUAUGCAAAUCUAAGAGAUUAGACGUUCCCUUCGGGGACAUGGAUACAGGUGGUGCAUGGUUGUCGUCAGCUCGUGUCGUGAGAUGUUGGGUUAAGUCCCGCAACGAGCGCAACCCUUAUUAUCAGUUGCCAGCAUUAAGUUGGGCACUCUGGUGAGACUGCCGGUGACAAACCGGAGGAAGGUGGGGAUGACGUCAAAUCAUCAUGCCCCUUAUGACCUGGGCUACACACGUGCUACAAUGGAUGGUACAACGAGUUGCGAACUCGCGAGAGUAAGCUAAUCUCUUAAAGCCAUUCUCAGUUCGGAUUGUAGGCUGCAACUCGCCUACAUGAAGUCGGAAU